AAACAGUAACCUAGAGGACGCGAUGCGGCGACAUGCUGGGGAGUUGUAAGGGAAACAGUAACCUAGAGGACGCGAUACGGCGACAUGCUGGGGAGUUGUAAGGGAAACAGUAACAUAGAGGACGCGAUACGGCGACAUGCUGGGGAGUUGUAACGGAAACCUCAAGGAGAACGUAAGGGAAAUACUCAGAGAAAGACUGGGAGAGAUGUGUCAACCAACUCAACAUUGUCAGGAACGAACACAAAGAAGGAUCCCUGUUGCCAACUAAAUUAGGUUGAUACAAAUUAGCCAACUUUGUGCUAGAAACCAAAGAGUUGGAGUGUAGAGUUUUCAAUGCUAAUAAGUUCACAAUUUAAGCGGAUUGUGAGAAUUUGCUUUACCCCCCCCCCCCCCCCCCC
Non-coding RNA from Biomphalaria pfeifferi, 398 nucleotides. The record is from the annotation of a GenBank genome assembly. Lineage: Eukaryota; Metazoa; Mollusca; Gastropoda; Planorbidae.